CCUGGCUGCACCUCUCCUAGACCUAUGUAAGUGCUGACUGCCACUGAGGAAGGAUCUCUUUCUGGAGAUCACUAUUUGUGGGAUUUACUGGGAGCCUACGAUGCUGUGAUGUAGGAGCUGAGGAACCAGGCCAGCCUGAAGAUGGAUUUCUGAUGUCAUUGUCCAGCAGUGCUUCACACAGCACUGAACUUUGGAGUCCUGUGGCCCCUCAAGCAGUCAUCCAAAGUUUUACGCUGCAACUGAAUUACCAGGAAGAGUAUUAGUGGUCCUGCAAGGACAUCCUGACUCCAUAUGGAUGAAUUUGCCACUGCUUGCAAGGUCUCCUUGAAAAGAAGAGAAAGAGCAGUCAGCACCAGCUCAGAGCUUCCUUUUAUGAUGAAAUGUCUUCGGUCUGAGCAGCAGGAAAAGGAUCAAGUGAGUUGACCUCAAAUCUCUUCCAACUGCUCCUGAUGGAACCUGGGUUGGAAAGAUUCACAGAUGCUCAUACAAAAUUGGGAAAAGAAGGCAUCUAACGUGAUUCAUGAAGUGAGAUAUCCCAGGCCUUUGGUGAUGCUGAAAGAAACACUUCUUAUGCAGUUGGGAUGUGCCAGUAGUAGAAAAAAAAUGUUUUCAUUGUCAGGAGUAAUGGACAUCACUGUAAUUGACUGCCACAAAUCCCAUAGGCUGCAAAAGGCAAUGAUAAUCUCUCUUGUAUUUCCAAGUUGCAUGGGAACUCCCAGACAAACCACUGCUGCCUUCUGUGGUAGAUAUUUUGCAUUCUCAGGACCGAGAUUGUUCCUCCUUUGUGUUGAUCUUCUGCUCCAGCUAGAUCUGCAUGUGUCUGCAGAACUGCCAUGGAGGGGAAGGAAGAGGACAGUCGGGCUGCCUUCCAGACUUUACUUCCAGAGACAAGAGCUGAUGCUGUGAGCAACGCAGUAAUUCCACACAUCUGGAAGCAGAGGAAGCAAGCUUAGACCUCUGUGUUGUGUAGUAUCCAUGGAAAUUUCCUGUGGGAAUCUGUUCCGCUGCUGAACUGCUCCAAAUAACAGAGUAGAUGCUUCUCUGAGGAAAUUAAAGAUACAUCACAUAUAGUUCAAAGGUCUGUCCAAAGUCUGGUUCGAGUUUUUUCUUUAACGUUCAUAUGCUUUAAAAGCAAGUAGCCUUAUUGAACGCACAGAUGACACCAGGCUUGGAGAAAUGGCAAGAGCGAUGGAGUGCAGGACUUGAAGUCGGAAUGAUCUUGCCAAAUUGAGUAGUGUUCUGGUAAGAAAAAAAGGUCAACUUCAGUAAAGACGAGGUGACAAGGUACUUAGUGAGAACAAGUAGCCAAAUGCAGGACAGAGCAUGACUAGCUGGCUAGUAUCUUUUAGAGGAGAGAUCAUAGAGAAUCCCAAGCCAAACCUAAGUUACUGACCAGGAGUGCUAUCUUCUGAGCUGUAUAAGCAAAAGUCUUGCCUACAAAACAAAAAUAUCAAUUUUCUUAUCACAUUAGUGAGUCCUUGGCAGGAGGAUCAAUUACACCUGAUAUGGGGCAGCAGGGGGGAGUUGCUGCAUUCUGAACUUUAGUACACCGACAUGCAUUCCUGGUGCCUCAGUGUGCUCAUUGCCCUGCUGCCCUCCUCAGCUCCUUAGGGCUGCUCCAGUUCUCACUCCUGUCGCAGCCACCAACUGGACUGUGCCUCUGUGCUCCCAAAGGAGGCUCUAGGGACAGGGCAGGAAAGCAGCUGAAGGGUUUUCUGUGUUUCAACCUCACAACGUGUGUCCCCUAUUAAAAUAUAGAGGCGAUACAAGAGCAGGCAAUACAUCACAUGUUUUUAAUACAGCACUUGAGAUUUGAGGCUUAAAUAUGGGAAGUCCCAUCUUAUAAAGGCUAUCUGCCAAUCCCAGUUGCUUUGAGAAAAAUGUGGAUGACCUGGAAAAGCUCCAAAGGAGAGCAAUAAGAAUGAUGAGCUGUCUUGGAGGAUUGACAGAAAUGGGGUUGCUGAGCUGAAAGAAGAGAGCACUGAGGAGGGAGAUGGCAAUAACCGUCAAAUGUAAAAAUGCACUGCUGCAAAGAAGAAGGGAAUAAUCUGCUCGCCAUGCUUAUGUUGGAUGAAACAAAAAUGGGAGUUUUUUAUAUCACUGAGGAAAAUUGAGAGUAGAUGUUAGAAAGUGCUUCUGGACAGGCAGGACACUGAAAUCGGAUUGCUAGGUGAAGGAGCUGGGACGUGAAGAUAUUUGAUAUUUUUUGCUGUGAUGUUGACAACGAUGGCUUUUUUAGGUACUGCCUUUCCCUGAAUCCUUUGUGACACACCUAUCAAAGGAAACUAGGGAGAUCACCUGGAUAGGUAUGAUAGCUGAUGGUCAGACUAUAUCAAUUGCAUGCCUUCUGCAGUGUUCAUGAACUUCAUAGUCCUUAUAUUUGCUCCAUCAAGUUAUCAGAGAUGUUUAAAUUUUGGAAGGUAAAUUUUCUUAAGUCUUUGAAGGGUUAGAAAUUCCAUUCCCACUGAAAAUCUUGUCCCUCCAUAUGGAGGUUCCAAGCUCAAUUUGCCAAGAGUUCAUGACACUAUGAUGGGAAACCACAAUCCUGUAAGAACAAUAUACAUUAAUCAAGGAAGAACUGCCAAAACUGUGAUUAACUUAUCAUUUUAAUUACAAUACAUGAUGAAACAUCUAUAUUAAAUAACUUUAGUAAUGGCUGAGCAUUGCAGUACAAGCUGUAAUAUGAUUUUUCUGUAAGAUAUUAAUUUGUCUUAAGACUUGAUUUUUGUCUAACACAGGUAAUGAUUUUACACGGAUAUCUUCAUAGCACAAAAUGAAUUAUUUCUGAACAGAG
Molecule: long non-coding RNA, 2794 nt
Organism: Tympanuchus pallidicinctus (lesser prairie-chicken)
Lineage: Eukaryota; Metazoa; Chordata; Aves; Galliformes; Phasianidae
Exons: 3
Source: RefSeq, a predicted model, not a curated record